GAGUUCCCAAGCUAUGUUCAUGAGCCUCUGUGAGAGAGAACAAGCUGGUUGGCAUUUUAAUGGGCAAGAGCUGGAAUAUCUACAUAUAAAAUCUGGAGCAGAUCAAUAACAGCAUCAUCAUGAACAACAAUAACACUUUAUAUAUCAGGAGUAAAAGUGUAUCAGAAGAAAUAUUAUACCCUCAUAAUGAAGAGGACGGGGCUCUCCAGGGAAUGGAACAAUAUCGUGUUAGGAGACUCUCUUGUCGUAAUCUCCAGCUUCCACCUCUGGCAUUCAGGCAGCUGGAACAAGCAGACUGGGACAGAAAAGGGGAGACAGACACUGUGUCAAGGCCCACCAGUCUUCCACUGAGAAGUCUCCCACUAAUUGCUAUCACAGCUGCAGAAUC
Sceloporus undulatus (fence lizard) is the source of this 388-nucleotide long non-coding RNA. RefSeq lists it as uncharacterized. The record is from RefSeq and is a predicted model, not a curated record. The transcript has 3 exons. NCBI's taxonomy places the organism in Eukaryota, Metazoa, Chordata, Lepidosauria, Squamata, Phrynosomatidae.